GUCCACAUUUUGUGGAUGGCUGUUGGUCUGGUGCAUGUCCCUUAUAAUCAUGACUAGAUCCACACUCAUCCAUAAUGGUGGGG
Molecule: non-coding RNA, 83 nt
Organism: Biomphalaria glabrata
Lineage: Eukaryota; Metazoa; Mollusca; Gastropoda; Planorbidae
Source: Rfam